RNAcentral lists this ribosomal RNA (301 nucleotides) under uncultured bacterium. Its description in RNAcentral is "partial 16S ribosomal RNA". It matches the Rfam family "Bacterial small subunit ribosomal RNA", at positions 509 to 807 of the family's 1533-position model. The record is from RNAcentral.
CAGUCGCCACGGGAAUACGAGGGGGGCAAGCGUUGUUCGGAAUUAUUGGGCGUAAAGGGUGCGUAGGCGGUUUGACAAGUCUUGUGUGAAAUCUCUGGGCUCAACCCAGAGUCUGCACGGGAAACUGUCGGGCUAGAGGAUGGGAGAGGUGAGUGGAAUUUCCGGUGUAGCGGUGAAAUGCGUAGAUAUCGGAAGGAACACCUGUGGCGAAAGCGGCUCACUGGACCAUUUCUGACGCUGAUGCACGAAAGCUAGGGGAGCAAACAGGAUUAGAUACCCGCGUAGUCCCUGUCUCUUAUAC